Molecule: ribosomal RNA, 440 nt
Filed under: uncultured bacterium
Lineage: Bacteria
Description: partial 16S ribosomal RNA
Rfam family: Bacterial small subunit ribosomal RNA
Source: RNAcentral
CCUACGGGUGGCAGCAGUGGGGGAUAUUGCACAAUGGGGGAAACCCUGAUGCAGCGACGUCGCGUGGGUGAAGACGCGCCUCGGCGCGUAAAGCCCUGUCAGCAGGGAAGAAAAUGACGGUACCUGAAGAAGAAGCCCCGGCUAACUACGUGCCAGCAGCCGCGGUAAUACGUAGGGGGCAAGCGGUAUCCGGAUUUACUGGGUGUAAAGGGGGCGCAGACGGGGAUGCAAGCCAGGAGGGAAAGUCUGGGGCCCAACCCCGGGACUGCCGUUGGCACUGCGUGGCUGGAGUGCAGGAGAGGUAGGCGGAAUGCGUGGUGUAGCGGUGAAAUGCGUAGAUAUCAGGAAGAACACCGAUGGCGAAGGCAGCCUGCUGGACUGCGACUGACGUUGAGGCCCGAAAGCGUGGGGAGCAAACAGGAUUAGAUACCCGUGUAGUC